This 90-nucleotide transfer RNA is filed under the name Methylophaga sp. 42_25_T18. Its description in RNAcentral is "tRNA-Ser". It matches the Rfam family "tRNA". Rfam says of the family: Transfer RNA (tRNA) molecules are approximately 80 nucleotides in length. The record is from RNAcentral. Lineage: Bacteria; Pseudomonadati; Pseudomonadota; Gammaproteobacteria; Thiotrichales; Piscirickettsiaceae. RNAcentral also lists the same sequence under 6 other names.
GGAGAGUUGACAGAGCGGCCGAAUGUACUGGUCUUGAAAACCAGCGUAGGUUUAUCCCUACCCAGGGUUCGAAUCCCUGACUCUCCGCCA